AGGGAAUCUUCCACAAUGGACGCAAGUCUGAUGGAGCAACGCCGCGUGAGUGAAGAAGGUUUUCGGACCGUAAAGCUCUGUUGUUGGUGAAGAAGGAUAGAGGUAGUAACUGGCCUUUAUUUGACGGUAAUCAACCAGAAAGUCACGGCUAACUACGUGCCAGCAGCCGCGGUAAUACGUAGGUGGCAAGCGUUGUCCGGAUUUAUUGGGCGUAAAGCGAGCGCAGGCGGAAGAAUAAGUCUGAUGUGAAAGCCCUCGGCUUAACCGAGGAAUUGCAUCGGAAACUGUUUUCUUGAGUGCAGAAGAGGAGAGUAGAACUCCAUGUGUAGCGGUGGAAUGCGUAGAUAUAUGGAAGAAUACCAGUGGCGAAGGCGGCUCUCUGGUCUGCAACUGACGCUGAGGCUCGAAAGCAUGGGUAGCGAACAGGAUUAGAUACCCUGGUAGUCCAUGCCGUAAACGAUGAGUGCUAAGUGUUGGGAGGCUUCCGCCUCUCAGUGCUGCAGCUAACGCAUUAAGCACUCCGCCUG
RNAcentral lists this ribosomal RNA (527 nucleotides) under uncultured bacterium. Its description in RNAcentral is "partial 16S ribosomal RNA". It matches the Rfam family "Bacterial small subunit ribosomal RNA", at positions 356 to 875 of the family's 1533-position model. The record is from RNAcentral.